GCCGAAGGUGGGGCUAAUGACUGGGGUGAAGUCGUAACAAGGUAGCCGUACCGGAAGGUGCGGCUGGAUCACCUCCUAACAGGGAGACAACAAAAUGUAAAUAUUAAUUUUGUCACCUUAGGUCGAUCGGUAUCUCAGAUUCUUAAUUUUAAGAAUUUCAGUUUCUAAGUUUUUUCUAGGUCACACCCAUCACUUUUCCUGGGCCAUUAGCUCAGGUGGUUAGAGCGCACCCCUGAUAAGGGUGAGGUCCCUGGUUCAAGUCCAGGAUGGCCCAUAUCUCUAUGUUGGGGGUAUAGCUCAGUUGGUAGAGCGCCUGCUUUGCAAGCAGGAUGUCAGCGGUUCGAGUCCGCUUACCUCCACUGAAUACCACCUCUUACAUAUUGUUAAUGAGGGAAUUUGUUUUGUGUCGUGCCCUAAUUGCUCUGAGAGAAUCUAGCUUCCUAUUUUUUAUUCAAUAAAUAAGAUGCUGGACUCAUUGAAUAUUUAUUCUUUGAUUUCAGAGAACCUUGACAACUGCAUAGAUUAUUUUUGAAGACAAUAAGCAUCUUUAAUGAUGCAGAUUUAUUAUUUUUGCUAAAGCAUUAAAUAACAAUUCUAUUAAGCUGAUGCUUCAAUUAUUGAAGUUAUUGGUCAAGCUACAAAGGGCUCACGGAGGAUACCU
This 661-nucleotide unclassified non-coding RNA is filed under the name uncultured Prochlorococcus sp. RNAcentral describes it as "partial may contain 16S ribosomal RNA, 16S-23S ribosomal RNA intergenic spacer, and 23S ribosomal RNA". The stretch from base 287 to 359 matches the Rfam family "tRNA". The record is from RNAcentral. Lineage: Bacteria; Bacillati; Cyanobacteriota; Cyanophyceae; Synechococcales; Prochlorococcaceae.